This 254-nucleotide ribosomal RNA is filed under the name uncultured prokaryote. Its description in RNAcentral is "partial 16S ribosomal RNA". It matches the Rfam family "Bacterial small subunit ribosomal RNA", at positions 524 to 776 of the family's 1533-position model. The record is from RNAcentral.
UACGGAGGGGGCUAGCGUUGUUCGGAAUUACUGGGCGUAAAGCGCACGUAGGCGGCUUUGUAAGUUAGAGGUGAAAGCCCGGGGCUCAACUCCAGAACUGCCUUCGAUACUGAGAGUCUUCGAGUUCGGGAGAGGUGAGUGGAACUGCGAGUGUAGAGGUGAAAUUCGUAGAUAUUCGCAAGAACACCAGUGGCGAAGGCGGCUCACUGGCCCGAUACUGACGCUGAGGUGCGAAAGCGUGGGGAGCAAACAGG